Molecule: ribosomal RNA, 207 nt
Filed under: uncultured bacterium
Lineage: Bacteria
Description: partial 16S ribosomal RNA
Rfam family: Bacterial small subunit ribosomal RNA
Source: RNAcentral
CACGUAGGCGGGUCGUUAAGUCAGGGGUGAAAUCCCGGAGCUCAACUCCGGAACUGCCUUUGAUACUGGCGACCUUGAGGCCGGAAGAGGUUAGUGGAAUUCCCAGUGUAGAGGUGAAAUUCGUAGAUAUUGGGAAGAACACCAGUGGCGAAGGCGGCUAACUGGUCCGGAUCUGACGCUGAGGUGCGAAAGCGUGGGGAGCAAACA